RNAcentral lists this ribosomal RNA (253 nucleotides) under uncultured bacterium. RNAcentral describes it as "partial 16S ribosomal RNA". It matches the Rfam family "Bacterial small subunit ribosomal RNA", at positions 524 to 776 of the family's 1533-position model. The record is from RNAcentral.
CACGUAGGGGGCAAGCGUUGUCCGGAUUUACUGGGCGUAAAGAGCGUGUAGGCGGCCAAGCAGGUCCGUUGUGAAAACUGGAGGCUUAACCUCCAGACGUCGACGGAAACCGCGUGGCUAGAGUCCGGAAGAGGAGAGUGGAAUUCCUGGUGUAGCGGUGAAAUGCGCAGAUAUCAGGAAGAACACCAAUGGCGAAGGCAGCUCUCUGGGACGGUACUGACGCUGAGACGCGAAAGCGUGGGGAGCGAACAGG